Molecule: ribosomal RNA, 301 nt
Filed under: uncultured bacterium
Lineage: Bacteria
Description: partial 16S ribosomal RNA
Rfam family: Bacterial small subunit ribosomal RNA
Source: RNAcentral
CAGCCGCCGCGGUAAUACGGAGGGUGCAAGCGUUAUCCGGAUUUAUUGGGUUUAAAGGGUCCGUAGGCGGACUUAUAAGUCAGUCGUGAAAGCCUGUCGCUUAACGAUAGAACUGCCAUUGAUACUGUAAGUCUUGAGUAUAUUUGAGGUAGCUGGAAUAAGUAGUGUAGCGGUGAAAUGCAUAGAUAUUACUUAGAACACCAAUUGCGAAGGCAGGUUACCAAGAUAUAACUGACGCUGAGGGACGAAAGCGUGGGUAGCGAACAGGAUUAGAUACCCCAGUAGUCCCUGUCUCUUAUAC